Molecule: ribosomal RNA, 253 nt
Filed under: uncultured bacterium
Lineage: Bacteria
Description: partial 16S ribosomal RNA
Rfam family: Bacterial small subunit ribosomal RNA
Source: RNAcentral
UACGUAGGUGGCAAGCGUUGUCCGGAAUUACUGGGUGUAAAGGGAGCGCAGGCGGGAAGCCAAGUCAGCUGUGAAAACUACGGGCUUAACUUGUAGACUGCAGUUGAAACUGGUUUUCUUGAGUGAAGUAGAGGUUGGCGGAAUUCCGAGUGUAGCGGUGAAAUGCGUAGAUAUUCGGAGGAACACCGGUGGCGAAGGCGGCCAACUGGGCUUUAACUGACGCUGAGGCACGAAAGCGUGGGGAUCAAACAGG